This 433-nucleotide ribosomal RNA is filed under the name uncultured bacterium. RNAcentral describes it as "partial 16S ribosomal RNA". It matches the Rfam family "Bacterial small subunit ribosomal RNA", at positions 29 to 507 of the family's 1533-position model. The record is from RNAcentral.
AACGAACGCUGGCGGCAUGCCUAACACAUGCAAGUCGAACGAGACCUUCGGGUCUAGUUGCGCACGGGUGCGUAACGCGUGGGAACCUGCCCUUAGGUUCGGAAUAACUCCCCGAAAGGGGUGCUAAUACCGGAUAAUGUCUUCGGACCAAAGAUUUAUCGCCUUUGGGUGGGCCCGCGUUGGAUUAGCUAGUUGGUAGGGUAAAAGCCUACCAAGGCGACGAUCCAUAGCUGGUCUGAGAGGAUGAUCAGCCACACUGGGACUGAGACACGGCCCAGACUCUUACAGGAGGCAGCAGUGGGGAAUAUUGGACUAUGGGCUAAAGGCUGAUCCAGCAAUGGCGCGUGAGUGAUGAAGGCCUUAGGGUUGUAAAGCUCUUUUACACGGGAUGAUAAUGACAGUACCGGGAGAAUAAGCACCGGCUAACUCCGUG